This 253-nucleotide ribosomal RNA is filed under the name uncultured bacterium. Its description in RNAcentral is "partial 16S ribosomal RNA". It matches the Rfam family "Bacterial small subunit ribosomal RNA", at positions 524 to 776 of the family's 1533-position model. The record is from RNAcentral.
UACAGAGGAGCCAAGCGUUGUCCGGAUUGACUGGGCGUAGAGCGCACGCAGGCGGGGGUGCGCGUGGGGUGUGAAAUCUGGCCGCUUAACGGCCAGGCGCCAUCCCAUACGGCACGCCUGGAGCCUUGCAGAGGUCGGUGGAAUUGCCGGUGUAGUGGUGAAAUGCGUAGAGAUCGGCAGGAACACCCAGGGGGAAACCAGCCGACUGGGCAAGUGCUGACGCUGAGGUGCGAGAGCGUGGGGAGCGAACCGG